UUGAGUUGAAGAAAUGGAAAGUAAGAGAACUGAAGGGUCUUAUGCCCACAAACAAACACUACUGAUAUGUCCUUUUCACAAAUGAGGAAAUAGGAAUAGAGAAGAUAUUAAACUGUGACACACCAUUCAUGCUCUCCGAUGGAACUGCAGAAGUCCUAGCUUUGGAGAUUAGAAUCAUACCUUUAGAUUCAAUGGAGUCAGAGGCUACAGUGGGAAGAAUGUUGGAUUUGGAGUUAGACCAAUCUGGCUUCUAAUGUCUGAGCCACCAAUGACUGACUAGCUUGUGAACCUGGAAAAGUUACUUAGGCUCUGGUUUCCUUAUCUGGGAACUGGAAAUGAUGUUGAUACCCACUCUGUAGGAUACUUGUAAGAAGAGAAAGAAAUAAUGUAUGUGGUUUCUUAGAUAGUGUAGACUCUACCUAAGUUAGACUCAAACUUCAUAAGAACUUCUGCAAACAUGACUGUAUGGGAUUUGUUCAGAGGCCCCACAAAGGACGCAGGGGACAGAUACUCAUUUCCAUCUUAUAGAUGAGGAAAGGGGGGCGGAGAGAAGAGAAGAAUGAAGGGAACUCUUCUGAAUUAUUCCAUUUAUGCAAUAGAUAUUAUCCCAUUCGGUCAAUGCAUGUCAGUUAGGCAGCUGUUAUAUUUGUCUAACUGAUAGUAUUUAUUCAAUGAGUACCAGGGAAGCAGCAUCCCAUUAGCAU
RNAcentral lists this long non-coding RNA (704 nucleotides) under Marmota monax (woodchuck). The record is from RNAcentral. Lineage: Eukaryota; Metazoa; Chordata; Mammalia; Rodentia; Sciuridae.